GUUCUUGGGAGACUGGGGCAUUAUGGGGGUUUAAAAGAGCAACCUUGAGGCUUUAAGAAAGUGGUAGAAUACUGACAAAUAUUGCACAUGAAGGGUUCACCAGAACAAUAAGCGACAGAUAGUGCUUUGAAUUUUGGAUGGUUUUUCUUGUUUUACCUGAGGCAUUCUGUCGGCCAUAAAUGUGGUAGGUGACCAUGCAGUGAUUGGAGUAAG
Molecule: non-coding RNA, 213 nt
Organism: Cajanus cajan (pigeon pea)
Lineage: Eukaryota; Viridiplantae; Streptophyta; Magnoliopsida; Fabales; Fabaceae
Source: RefSeq, a predicted model, not a curated record